GGGGGACGGAGAAGGCUAUGUUGGCCGGGCGACGGUUGUCCCGGUUUAAGCGUGUAGGUGUGUGUUCCAGGUAAAUCCGGUUCACUUUAACACUGAGGCGUGACGACGAGGCACUACGGUGCUGAAGCAACAAAUGCCCUGCUUCCAGGAAAAGCCUCUAAGCAUCAGGUAACAUCAAAUCGUACCCCAAACCGACACAGGUGGUCAGGUAGAGAAUACCAAGGCGCUUGAGAGAACUCGGGUGAAGGAACUAGGCAAAAUGGUGCCGUAACUUCGGGAGAAGGCACGCUGACACGUAGGUGAAGUGAUUUACUCACGGAGCUGAAGUCAGUCGAAGAUACCAGCUGGCUGCAACUGUUUAUUAAAAACACAGCACUGUGCAAACACGAAAGUGGACGUAUACGGUGUGACGCCUGCCCGGUGCCGGAAGGUUAAUUGAUGGGGUCAGCGCAAGCGAAGCUCCUGAUCGAAGCCCCGGUAAACGGCGGCCGUAACUAUAACGGUCCUAAGGUAGCGAAAUUCCUUGUCGGGUAAGUUCCGACCUGCACGAAUGGCGUAAUGAUGGCCAGGCUGUCUCCACCCGAGACUCAGUGAAAUUGAACUCGCUGUGAAGAUGCAGUGUACCCGCGGCAAGACGGAAAGACCCCGUGAACCUUUACUAUAGCUUGACACUGAACAUUGAGCCUUGAUGUGUAGGAUAGGUGGGAGGCUUUGAAGUGUGGACGCCAGUCUGCAUGGAGCCGACCUUGAAAUACCACCCUUUAAUGUUUGAUGUUCUAACGUGGACCCGUAAUCCGGGUUGCGGACAGUGUCUGGUGGGUAGUUUGACUGGGGCGGUCUCCUCCUAAAGAGUAACGGAGGAGCACGAAGGUUGGCUAAUCCUGGUCGGACAUCAGGAGGUUAGUGCAAUGGCAUAAGCCAGCUUGACUGCGAGCGUGACGGCGCGAGCAGGUGCGAAAGCAGGUCAUAGUGAUCCGGUGGUUCUGAAUGGAAGGGCCAUCGCUCAACGGAUAAAAGGUACUCCGGGGAUAACAGGCUGAUACCGCCCAAGAGUUCAUAUCGACGGCGGUGUUUGGCACCUCGAUGUCGGCUCAUCACAUCCUGGGGCUGAAGUAGGUCCCAAGGGUAUGGCUGUUCGCCAUUUAAAGUGGUACGCGAGCUGGGUUUAGAACGUCGUGAGACAGUUCGGUCCCUAUCUGCCGUGGGCGCUGGAGAACUGAGGGGGG
This 1226-nucleotide ribosomal RNA is filed under the name Salmonella enterica subsp. enterica serovar Worthington str. BCH-3194. RNAcentral describes it as "partial 23S ribosomal RNA". It matches the Rfam family "Bacterial large subunit ribosomal RNA", at positions 1467 to 2671 of the family's 2925-position model. Lineage: Bacteria; Pseudomonadati; Pseudomonadota; Gammaproteobacteria; Enterobacterales; Enterobacteriaceae. The record is from RNAcentral.